Molecule: non-coding RNA, 131 nt
Filed under: Deltaproteobacteria bacterium
Lineage: Bacteria; Pseudomonadati; Myxococcota; Myxococcia
Description: MoCo sequence
Rfam family: Molybdenum/Tungsten riboswitch aptamer (Moco RNA motif)
Source: RNAcentral
AUAAGUUAUAAUCUCCGAGCCAACAUCCCUAAGAGGGCGUGUGAUUACGCCUACGGGCAUUGGCCGAUUAGGGUGCGGCUGGAAACGGCCUGCGCCUCCCGCGCUUGGAAAGGAGAUAGAAGCAGCCUCUC